UACGUAGGGGGCAAGCGUUGUCCGGAAUUACUGGGCGUAAAGGGAGCGCAGGCGGUCUUUUAAGUAGGAUGUGAAAUACCCGGGCUUAACCUGGGGGGUGCAUCCUAAACUGGGGGACUUGAGUGUGGGAGAGGAAAGUGGAAUUCCUAGUGUAGCGGUGAAAUGCGUAGAUAUUAGGAGGAACACCAGUGGCGAAGGCGACUUUCUGGACCAUAACUGACGCUGAGGCUCGAAAGCGUGGGGAGCAAACAGGAUUAGAUACCCUGGUAGUCCACGCUGUAAACGAUGAAUACUAGGUGUAGGGGGUAUCAACUCCCUCUGUGCCGCAGCUAACGCAAUAAGUAUUCCGCCUGGGGAGUACGGUCGCAAGACUGAA
This 376-nucleotide ribosomal RNA is filed under the name uncultured bacterium. Its description in RNAcentral is "bacterial SSU rRNA". It matches the Rfam family "Bacterial small subunit ribosomal RNA", at positions 524 to 898 of the family's 1533-position model. The record is from RNAcentral.